RNAcentral lists this long non-coding RNA (800 nucleotides) under Cricetulus griseus (Chinese hamster). RNAcentral describes it as "lncRNA (ENSCGRG00000024993.1)". The record is from RNAcentral. Lineage: Eukaryota; Metazoa; Chordata; Mammalia; Rodentia; Cricetidae.
ACGGUUUCUCUGUAGACCAGGAUAUUUUUUAUUUUUUGAGACAAAGUUUUUCUAUGUGGUCCUGGCCUAGAGCUCCUUAUGUAAACCAGGGUGGUCUCAAACUCAUAAAAACCUGCCUACUUCUACCUCCCAAGUGUUAGGAUUAAAAGCCUGCAUCACCGUGCCCAGCCAGCUUACUCUUUUGAGUAUAGGAAAUUUAUCCUGGACACACCAAGGUGUAGACUCUUAUUGCCUCAUAUAAAUUCUGUCAGUUCUCAUUGUAAAUGGAUUUCUAUAUUAAGGUACAAUCUUUUCAUCUUUACCUCCAGGUCUUUGACCAGGAAUUGGAUGCACUGGAAAUUGAGACAGUACAAAAGGAGACAAUCCAUCCCCGAAAAUCCUAUAAGAUGAAUUCUUCCUGUGCUGACAUACUACUCUUUGCUUCCUAUAAGUGGAAUGUCUCCCGGCCCUCACUGCUGGCAGACUCCAAGGAUGUGAUGGACAGCACAACUACACAGAAGUAUUGGAUUGACAUCCAGUUACGAUGGGGAGACUAUGAUUCCCAUGAUAUCGAGCGCUAUGCCCGGGCCAAGUUCCUGGAUUAUACCACAGACAACAUGAGUAUCUACCCUUCUCCCACAGGUGUGCUCAUUGCCAUUGACCUGGCCUAUAAUCUACACAGGUGAGUUAGGACUCAUGGGCUUUCCAUUACUUUUCUAUGUUUUGUUUCAUUUAUUGAAGUGCAGUCUCGCUAUAUGUAUAGCCUUGGCUGGCCUGGAACUUACUGUAAACCAUGCUCACAGAGGCUGUCUACACAUUAG